RNAcentral lists this ribosomal RNA (372 nucleotides) under Ektaphelenchoides poinari. RNAcentral's name for it is "eukaryotic LSU rRNA". It matches the Rfam family "Eukaryotic large subunit ribosomal RNA", at positions 621 to 964 of the family's 3401-position model. The record is from RNAcentral. Lineage: Eukaryota; Metazoa; Nematoda; Chromadorea; Rhabditida; Aphelenchoididae.
UCGUCGUAUAGUCGGUCACUCAUUCGACCCGUCUUGAAACACGGACCAAGGAGUUUACGGUACACGCGAGAUAUUGAGUUUUACGAAACUCAAAAUCGUAAUGAAAGUAAAACUGUUUAAGCAGUUUAAACACGAUCGGCUAAUCAAUUCGUUGAUUGUCGCGCAGUGUUGCCCCAUUCUUCGGACUUGUCCUAGUGUGGAGGCUGAGCGUGUGCGGUGAGACCCGAAAGAUGGUGAACUAUGCCUGAACAGGAUGAAGCCAGAGGAAACUCUGGUGGAAGUCCGAAGCGGUUCUGACGUGCAAAUCGAUCGUCUGAUUUUGGUAUAGGGGCGAAAGACUAAUCGAACCAUCUAGUAGCUGGUUCCUUCCGA